UUAUAUGCAAAAUCAUGAUUUCGACUCAUUUAAUAAUUUUAAAAUAAUUCAUAUAUU
RNAcentral lists this transfer RNA (57 nucleotides) under Dendrocerus sp. ZJUH_2016009. RNAcentral's name for it is "tRNA-Arg". Lineage: Eukaryota; Metazoa; Arthropoda; Insecta; Hymenoptera; Megaspilidae. The record is from RNAcentral.